This 274-nucleotide ribosomal RNA is filed under the name uncultured bacterium. Its description in RNAcentral is "partial 16S ribosomal RNA". It matches the Rfam family "Bacterial small subunit ribosomal RNA", at positions 523 to 796 of the family's 1533-position model. The record is from RNAcentral.
AUACGGAGGGUGCGAGCGUUAUUCGGAAUCACUGGGCGUAAAGGACGCGUAGGCGGGUUUGUAAGUCAGGUGUGAAAUCCUACAGCUCAACUGUAGAACUGCACUUGAAACUACAGACCUAGAGUAUGGAAGGGGCAGAUGGAAUUAGUGGUGUAGGGGUAAAAUCCGUAGAUAUCACUAGGAAUACCGAAAGCGAAGGCGAUCUGCUGGGACAUUACUGACGCUGAGGCGUGAAAGCGUGGGGAGCAAACAGGAUUAGAUACCCCAGUAGUCC